GAUGAAGAACGCAGCAAAAUGCGAUAAGUAGUGUGAAUUGCAGAAUUCAGUGAAUCAUCGAAUCUUUGAACGCACAUUGCGCCCUUUGGUAUUCCGCAGGGCAUGCCUGUUCGAGCGUCAUUUCAACCCUCAAGCUCUGCUUGGUGUUGGGCCCUGCCCGCUGCGGCCGGCCCUAAAGACAGUGGCGGUGCCGCCUGGCCCUGAGCGUAGUACAUCUCUCGCUCCAGUGCCCGGUGGUAGCCUGCCAGAACCCCAACUCUCGUGGUUGACCUCGGAUCAGGUAGGGAUACCCGCUGAACUUAAGCAUAUCAAUAAGCGGAGGA
RNAcentral lists this unclassified non-coding RNA (323 nucleotides) under soil metagenome. RNAcentral's name for it is "partial contains 5.8S ribosomal RNA, internal transcribed spacer 2, and large subunit ribosomal RNA". The stretch from base 1 to 120 matches the Rfam family "5.8S ribosomal RNA", at positions 35 to 154 of the family's 154-position model. The record is from RNAcentral.